AGCGAACGCUGGCGGCAGGCCUAACACAUGCAAGACGAACGAACUCUUCGGAGUUAGUGGCGGACGGGUGAGUAACACGUGGGAACGUGCCUUUAGGUUCGGAAUAACUCAGGGAAACUUGUGCUAAUACCGAAUGUGCCCUUCGGGGGAAAGACUUAUCGCCUUUAGAGCGGCCCGCGUCUGAUUAGCUAGUUGGUGAGGUAAGGGCUCACCAAGGCGACGAUCAGUAGCUGGUCUGAGAGGAUGAUCAGCCACAUUGGGACUGGGACACGGCCCAAACUCCUACGGGAGGCAGCAGUGGGGAAUCUUGCGCAAUGGGCGAAAGCCUGACGCAGCCAUGCCGCGUGAAUGAUGAAGGUCUUAGGAUUGUAAAAUUCUUUCACCGGGGACGAUAAUGACGGUACCCGGAGAAGAAGCCCCGGCUAACUUCGUGCCAGCCGCCGCAGUAA
This 449-nucleotide ribosomal RNA is filed under the name uncultured bacterium. RNAcentral describes it as "partial 16S ribosomal RNA". It matches the Rfam family "Bacterial small subunit ribosomal RNA", at positions 29 to 523 of the family's 1533-position model. The record is from RNAcentral.